Molecule: ribosomal RNA, 433 nt
Filed under: uncultured bacterium
Lineage: Bacteria
Description: partial 16S ribosomal RNA
Rfam family: Bacterial small subunit ribosomal RNA
Source: RNAcentral
AACGAACGCUGGCGGCAUGCCUAACACAUGCAAGUCGAACGAGACCUUCGGGUCUAGUGGCGCACGGGUGCGUAGCGCGUGGGAACCUGCCCUUAGGUUCGGAAUAACUCCCCGAAAGGGGUGCUAAUACCGGAUAAUGUCUUCGGACCAAAGAUUUAUCGCCUUUGGAUGGGCCCGCGUUGGAUUAGCUAGUUGGUAGGGUAAAAGCCUACCAAGGCGACGAUCCAUAGCUGGUCUGAGAGGAUGAUCCGCCACACUGGGACUGAGACACGGCCCAGACUCCUACGGGAGGCAGCAGUGGGGAAUAUUGGACAAUGGGCGAAAGCCUGAUCCAGCAAUGCCGCGUGAGUGAUGAAGGCCUUAGGGUUGUAAAGCUCUUUUACCCGGGAUGAUAAUGACAGUACCGGGAGAAUAAGCUCCGGCUAACUCCGUG